UGGUUCUGGCAUCGAUGAAGAACGCAGCGAAAUGCGAUAAGUAAUGCGAAUUGCAGAAUUCCGUGAGUCAUCGAAUCUUUGAACGCACAUUGCGCCCUUUGGUAUUCCGAAGGGCAUGCCUGUUCGAGCGUCAUUACCAACCCUCAAGCCAUGCUUGUUGUUGGAUUAGAGGUGUUCGUCACCUUUAUCCCAAAGACGAUGACGGUGUUUUAGGGACCCUCGGUACAAUGAGCUUUAACUAGCACGUAUCGUAGUCGACCCUAGAACCCGGUCUUCCUCUUAUAUUUCUCAGGUUGACCUCGGAUCAGGUAGGAUUACCCGCUGA
RNAcentral lists this unclassified non-coding RNA (325 nucleotides) under uncultured fungus. RNAcentral describes it as "partial contains 5.8S ribosomal RNA and internal transcribed spacer 2". The stretch from base 1 to 133 matches the Rfam family "5.8S ribosomal RNA", at positions 22 to 154 of the family's 154-position model. Lineage: Eukaryota; Fungi. The record is from RNAcentral.